Molecule: long non-coding RNA, 1396 nt
Filed under: Homo sapiens (human)
Lineage: Eukaryota; Metazoa; Chordata; Mammalia; Primates; Hominidae
Description: HSALNT0230617
Source: RNAcentral
GAUCAUUUGCGCUGGGGAAAGCUAUUCCAGCUGUCCCGUGCAGAGACGUGCUUGGCAAGGAGCAGAAGUUGCAGGCCAACAACUGCAUGUGGGGGCAAAUCCACCAGCUUCAGUCAAGCCUCGGAUGACUGAGCUCCCAGCUGACAACUUGAUUACAGACUUGUGAGAGACCCUUAGCCAGACCCACUCCAGGAGUAUGUGUUACCUGGAUAUCACCUGGCCACUUGUGACCCUAACAGAAGCAAUGAAUAAAUCUGGAAGCAAAAACAAACAGAGAAGCCAGAGAAGAAGAUCCAGGUCUCAGGAGCCCUCGGGGAAGGUUUGGUGGCUGCAGAAAGGACUUUCUCUGAGAAUCCAGAAGUGACAUCAGGGAAGAACCUCAAAGGAUCCAUGGUCCCCCAACACAGAGCAAGUGACUGCAGCUCCUAGAAUCUCUUCCUUCAGGGAGGCCCAGAGAAAUUAAGUGUUAAGAGGCCUUACCCUCAGACAACAUCUUCUCUCAGCCUCUGUGGCUACAGUAUGUACAGUGUGCUGAGUGUGGAAGGACCUCUCUCCCCAUUAAAUCUGUAGUGCGAUCACAUGGAAGGCAUCUGAGGACCUAGAGCAAGGAAACAUGGCUAUCCUGCCCCACUGUGGUCCCGAUCUGGGUACUGAAUCAGCAUCUUCCAAGGAUUUUUAAAAUAGAAACCCCCAGUUCUCAGCCUACACCAAUGAAUCAGAAUCUCUCAGGAUGGGGCUCAGGGAAGCUGUGUUUUUAAAAACUCCAAGUACCUUACUUACCUUCUCACCAUCAUGAAAAUAGAAAUGAACAAAAUUAACAAGGCAACAAUUUCCAGGCACUGGACCAGAGGCACAGUGCAGAACUGUGAUCUCUGAGAGGAGGGCAACACUCAAGGGAGGGAGACCUGUGUUUGCCCAGGUUCUGCCCAGGUGAAGCACAGGGAGGGGAAACCCAGGCAGACCACAGUGGUCUGAUGGAGCUGAGCAGAAUUCGGAGCUUGGGCUGCUGAAGUGGCUGGCAUAUGUGGGGGCAGAAAACAGGAAAGGAAAGCUGCAGAGGGAGAGAACAAAGACCCCAGAAAUGUGUAUGCGCAUGUCCUGUGGGCUGUUGGUUGAAGCCCGGGCUUUGAAGAACAGAGCAAGACUUGGUGGAGCCUAGCAGAGAGCAGCUGCUAAGGGCCUGGGAACAGAAUGGAAACAUAGGGAGACUCUCUGCAGGGCUGGGAGUUCCAGCUCAGCUAGAAUGGAGAAACUCUGGUGUGCAUCUCAGUGGAGACUGCAUAAAGGCCAUGUAUUAGGAAUAAAGACUACGCUUCUAGGAGAAGGACUACACCCUAGCACAGAGUUUCUUGGUAUCAGCAAUACUAGCAUUUUAAACAGGUCAUUUUUAUUUUCC